UUCAACAAUUUUAGCUGAUAUGACGUUAGAAGUUUUUUUUUCAGAUUUUUAAGCAAGUAAGUAUAAUUAUGCCAAAAGUACGUCCAAAAAACACAGUUUAUCACGCAUCAAACAUUGGUGCAAAAAAAAAUCUGUUUUUUCAUUUUCAUAUUUUCCUAUGUAGGUACGUUAAAUUAAGGGGGAAUUUUGGGUAAAAAUGCUGACAGAUUUUUAAAUCUUGAGGUAUUUUCAUACUACUCAACAAAUUUUCAACUUCAACUUCCACCUCCUCGAGUCUCCUUUGAUGUUUUGCGUAAAAUUACUCUUAUAUCUAACACAAUGAACCCAAAAUUUUUGAGCUUGAGUUUCAAGCCAAAAUAAUGCGAAAAAUGGGUUCACUUCCAGCUCUCUCUUCCAAUGCAAGUUUCAUGAUUUCGGAACAGACGAUUUAUGAGUUUUUCAAUUCGAGUAGAAUUUUUGACUCAUGAAAAAAUUCGCUUUCCAAUCUCUCAACUCGGAUUUUCGUGAUUCACCUUCCUUAGUUGAUUCGCAAUUACUAAGUUGAGACAGGAUUUGACACAGAUGUUGAUUAUCGAAUAUAGAUCAAAUGAUGGACGGUAAAGAUUCCUCUCUCGACUCCCCCCCCCCACAUAUUUGGAACAUUUUGUCAGUACAGUCAAACUUGGAUAAGUGGAACCCAUGUAACUGGAAAACCUCUAUAAGUGGAAUAAAAUUCGUUUCCCUAGCACUUCCCUAUGUAAACCCAUGUUAAAGUCACCUCUUUAAAUGGAAACAGAACCUAUGUAAGUGGAAUUUUGUUUUGAGUAGCAGAACUUCUGGAACUGAAAUGUUGCUUUCGUUUUACCUCUAUAAGUGAAAUUCUUUUCCUUCUUACCUCUAUAACUGAAACAUUUAUCAUAACAGCACCUACAGAAGUGGAAUUUGUUCCAGUUAACGAGGUAAGAAGGAGAGGAAUUUCACUUAUAGAGGUAAAACGAAAGCAACAUUUCAGUUCCAGAGGUCCUGCUACUCAGAAUAAAAUUCCACUUAUAUAAGACUUUAACAUAGGUUUAGAUGGGGAAGUGGUAGGGAAACGAAAACCUCCAUAACUGGAAUUCCAAUUUGUUCAACCUCUAUAAGUGAAACCUACUUUAGUGGAAAACCUAUGUAAGUGGAAAAAAAUCCGUUUCCCUUGCGAUUCCACUUAUCCAGGUUUGACUUAUGACUUAAGUACAACAACUACUACAUACGUAGUUUAUGAUCGAUCCAAGAAGUUACCUAUAGUUAUUAAACCACACAUGCUACACAUUUUAUAGUUGAAUUUCAAAUACACAUCUAACAUUUUUUCUGACAUUUUAACAUGCAGAUUAAGUAGCUAGGUACAUAAAUUUCUCAUUUCCAGGAAUAUUUCUCAAUGUUUGGAUCCUCGCUGUAUAAAAUCUUCAUUAAAAUACUAAGUAGCAUAAAUAAAAUGAGAAAGAAAGACGUAAUUGGCAAUCGAACUUGUACCUACGAGUAUAGGUAGGUAGGUACAUUACAUACUACAUAGGUAGUACAUAGUACAGCAGGCGCUCAGCAUGUACGUGAUCAUAAAUAUUUGCGCAUUUGAUUAUAAAAAUAAUGACGUACAAACCUACAUUGCUACUAUUUCCGAUGAAUUUUCGUAUUCAAAAGCAAUAUUCAGCGUACAAGAUUGAUACCCUUGAGACGCCUCCUUUUAAUCUGGCAAGUGAGAUUUUCCUAUAUAUAUCAGUGAUAUCCCGAAUGAAAAUCACAAAUCAUAAUAAUAUAAACGCACUGUGUCGUAUAAUCUCGUAACUAGUGUGCAUUUUUCGUGUACCUAUCUCAAACGUAAUUUGUUUUAGACGUUUCAACUUGACAAUAAUUAUGAAUUUUUACAAAAUAUUUUUCUUCGUUUUCGCCGCGUUGAUGAUGUUUACGCAGAUGACCUCGGCCAAAUGUCUUCAUAAUGGAAAGAAAUGCAAAGCUAAUGGCAGCUUGGGCAACUGCUGCUCUGGAUACUGUUUUCAACUCAUCGGACACAAGGAAGGAAAAUGCCAAAAUCGCUGAUCAUCUACGAUCGAGCAAUAUUUAUACCAUGGAUACCUUACCGAUGUGAUUUAGAAUGUUUUCGUGUUUAGGUACUUACUAUAAUAUUAUUUAUUAACUUCAGUCUUUUUGUUUUUUGUAUUUUGUUCAUUUCAUUAUCUAAUUUUAUACUUAGGAGGUAAUAUAUUUUUUAUGCUUUAAAAUACCUAUCGUUUCUUUUUUCUGCUAUGCAUUAUACCCGUGAUUCUAAUUUAAUGUGUAUUGUGUAAUAUACACAUUUCAAAAUGGUCUUAUGAGGUUGUUAUAAUUUCAAAGUAAAUUAACGGCGAGAAAAAAUUCAUCGCACAAACAACACGUACCUUCCUAGGUACAUGACAUAUUGGUACCGAUUUUUUUCUUCGAAAUACUUAAAUGACAAGUAAGUAUCAAAUGAUGAAUGGAAGGCUGCAUGAUUUUUCAAACAGUGUUUCGUCUUUUCAAGAUUUGCCAUUCUGAAUUGAAUUUUUUUAAAUGAAAUUUUAAAAAGAUGAAAAAAAUAUUGAAUCAAUCUGACGAGAUUUUGAAUUUGAUGAAAUCCUAAAAUCAUGUAUAAAGCUCGAGCGAACCUCGAAAAAAAAGGAACUCCAUAGGGAGAUUCAGCAUCUCAAACUGUACCGAUUGAGUGCUAAGGCUAAAAAAAAUCGAUUUUGGUGCAUUUGACUUUUUUAAAAAAACAUGAAUUUUUAGCUAAAAUGACCCUUCUUUGAGACAUUAUGGCUCAGCCCCCUGGAUGGUAUCGCGGUGGGCAACAAUUUUUGGGGGUGGUUUAAACUCAAAAGGAACCACAUAAUUAUGUAUAUUUCAAAAAAUUUCUAGACCUACAUUGUUUUUUGACCCGCCUCAGUGCACAUUUUAUAACUGAAUUUUAAAUUACAAUUAUUUUUUUCUGAAAUUUUAACAUGCAGAUUAAGUAAGGUAGGUGUAGGUAGCUAGGUACAUAGAUGUACAUAAAUUUCUCAUUUCCAGGAAUAUUUCUCUCUGUUUGGAUCCUCGCUGCGUAAGAUCUUCAUUAAAAUACAAAGUACCUACCAUAAAUAAAAUAAGAAAGAAAGACAUACCUAAUUAAUUGGCAAUCGAACUCGUACCUACAAGUAUGCAUUACAUAGUUGUAUCUGUACCCUUGGGAAACCUUCUUUUAGUGAGAUUUUCGUAGGUAUAUAUACCUGUGAUAUCCCGUAUAAUUACAAAAUCAUAAUAAUACCUUCAUACAAACGAAUUGUGCCGUAUAAUCGCGUAACCAAUGUGCAUUUUUCGUGUAUCUCAUAGGUGCUCGUAUUUGUUUUCGACGUAUCAUUCAACUUUACAAUAUGAAUUUUUACAAAAUAUUUUUCCUCACGACAGCCAAAUGUCUGAGUAAUGGAAAUACGUAUAAGACUGAUGGCAGCAUAGGCAACUGCUGCUCUGGAAAUUGUGCUAAGGACAAAACCGAUCCCGGAAAAGACUUUGGAAUAUGUUCAAACCAGCAUUAGAAUGCUUUCGUACCUUAAUUUAUAGGUUGAAUAUUUGCUGAUUUUUCUACGCAAACUCCAGCAGUCCAUUCUGGUUCCUUGUGGCAGCGCCCGGAACAGCAAUUUCCUUGUCUGUUACUGGGUUUACAAUCGUUUCCAGUAAGGAUGCAUUUUGAGGCCACAGAUUGCAUCGUGACCAAGAUGACUGCGCAAACGAACAAAAAUAUUUUGUAGAAAUCCAUCAUAAGAUACGAGUACUUUCUCGAGAAAAUUUAUAAAAAGGAUCGAAUAUGAAUUGAAAUUCCAGGAUUAUAUUGAUCGGUGCAAAAGUGUACAGAAAUCACGUACCUACAAUAAAAUAUUACAUCUGUCAUAAACAUGGAAGAGCUGAUAUGCGGAAAAUAUGAUUAAGAUCAAAAAUCGAUUUCCGAAUGAUGUGAACGUGAGAAGAGCGAAGUAUGCUAAGUGCAGUUUUAAUUGGAACAAAUUUUUUCAGCGUAAUGUAUGUAAUUAUUGUAAUGUACUUCACACGUGCAUAUGAAGAGUGAUAUUCCAAAACUCGCUUGGUCCAUUUUCACAACUUUUCAGGAGAGAGGAAAAACAGUUUCCCUUUAAACGGGUAAAUUGGCUUUUUAGGCGAGUUUAGCACUUUAUUUGGGUGGAUUUAUGAUGUAGGAGUGUAGGUAUACAUUUCAUCCACUAAAAACUGCUGAAAAAAAUUUCAAUAAAAAUGGACAAAGCGCGUUUUGGAACAUUAUUUUUUUUUAAAUUUUUAGUGAAUUGGCUAUUUAAGUGAGUUUAACACCUCAUUUUGGUAGGUUGAUGAUGUAGGAAUGUGAGUUAAUACUUCAUCUACCAGGUCCCACUGAAAAUCCAACUUUGAUAAAAAUGGACAAAGCGAGUUUUGGAAUAUCACUCUUCAAUAUGUAUAAUAAUAGUUAGGUAACAUAAUUUUUUCAAUUUCGUGAAAUCAUCAAUGCAUUUUUUUCAAAAUUGUACGUCUUUGAAGUUGGAGUAACUGAAUUCUAAUUCAGAUCGCUUCCGUUAUUUAUGUGGAAAACUAGAAGUCCAAAAAUUUUCUCAUGUUUAUUUCAGUGAGCUUUCGAAACAAUUUUUUUUGGUUCAAACACAUCAAAAUUUUCUUGAAGGACAUGAAAAUCGUACUUAGUAGGUAUCUCAGAAAAUAAGUUUAACAACACGAGACAAAACUAUUUUAGGAAAUUUAUGCACUCCAAGAUUUUUGAAAAUAUGUAGUAAAAAUUCGCCUGAUCUUGAGACUAAUGAGAAAGUGUCCAAAUCGAUACGAACAUAUAUCAUCCAAGCAAUGCUACAUCGAAAGGGCAUGCAAGAAUACAUCACCAGCAAAAAUUUCAGAUGCUGAAGUACAUUUUGGGGAUUUUGAUGAAUUUUUGAAAAAAUUGAAGGAUCAAAAAUAUCAAAAAAUGACAAUUUUACCAAAUUGACUUGGAAAUCUGAAAUUUAGUAAGUAUUUGCCCUAUUUUCAAUUUCCUAAAUCGAUUAGAAAAUGGUUUCAGCCCAUUUUGAGCAACUUUGAACUUUCCAGCAGAUCUUGUUUCUAUACACAAUUAACGAAGUCGGAAAGGCAAAAUUUACUACAUUAUAAUAUGUACAUACGUUUGUUUCAACAUUCAGAGUCAAUUGGGUGUUCUUUUGAGUCGUUUUAGCAACCCGAUGGGAGUCAAGGAAACUGCUGUACCGGGUAGUGCCACAAGCAACCAGGAUGGGCUGCUGGAUAUUGCAGAUGAGUGAUAAAAUCUUCAAGUUGCAAAAAAACAUAUUAAAAUUUCAGUUUGGUACAUUCACGUAAAUAAUAUUUUGCUAUUUUUAUACUUUAUUCGAUAAAUAAUACGGAUUCUUGAUGUGGAAUUUCAUUACUUCUCAAUAAAUUCAUAUUUUAAAACGUAUUCUUUCAAUCUCUUUAUUCAGAACUUUUUAUUGCUUAAUUUUUGUGGUAGCAAAUACGAGUACGUAAGUGUGGAUUGUACGUUUGGAUAUUUUCGAGAAAAAAAAUGAUGAUUUUUUGCAUUGAUGAUUUUAUGAACAUGAAAAAAUGAUGUUACAUAUUCUGAAAUUUUUAUUUUUUUAAAUUCAUGGAAUUCUCGGAUUAUUUUGAUUGAUGUUAGCGGUGUAGAUAUCGUGUGCACGAAAUUAGGUUCACAUUAUUAAGGAAACGUUGCUCUACUGUAAGAAAAAACACACACUUUUGAUACAUAAUUUUUCUUAAUAUUUGAAUUUUUUUCAUUUUCUUCAAUUUUUUUUGAAAAUUGCAAAAGUUGACUCACGUAGUACAUACCUACAAAAUACAUUACGCUUGGCAUAUACUAAUUCGAAUUUCUCACGUUCACAUCAUUAAGCAAUGAUUUUUGAUCGUGAUCAUCUCUCCGCAAAGUAUCAGCUCUUCCGUGUUCAUGACAAAUGCAAUAUUUUAUUGUAGGUACGUGAUUUCUGUGCACUUUUGACACCGAUCAAUAUAAUCCGGGAAUUCCUUCAAUCCAAACAAAUAAAAUUGUCAGCAUAUUAUAACUUCAUUUCCAGUUCAUAAAAUCAUCAGUUUGAGUACAUUUUGUCAACGGUCAAAGUUCGUACUUAAUUCAUUAUUCUAUCCUUUCGUCAAUUUUUUUGAGUAGUACCUACUCGUACAUUUUAGUAUCUAUCUUAUGAUGGAUUUCUACAUACAAAAUAUUUUUGUUCGUUUGCGCUGUCAUCUUUGUCACUAUGCAAUCAGUGGCCUCAAAAUCAUGCAUCCCUACUGGAAAAGAUUGUAAGAUACAUGAAACUUGCUGUAGCUCGUACUGCCAGCACCGACCAGGAAAGGUUAUUGGAUUUUGCAAACAAAAGUGAUCAAAUAUUCAACUUGCAAGAAUACAGGUUAAAAUUCUAGUUUGGCACAUUCACGUAAAUAAUAUUUUUCUAUUUUAAUUUUUGUUCGAUUGAUUAUCUGGAUUCACGAUGUAUAAUGUAGUAAUUUAGUGGUAUUUCAUUACUUCUCAAUAAGUCAAUAUAUUCAUCUAAGUAUUUCGAAACGUAUUCUUUCAAUCUCUUUGUACAAAACUUUUUGAUGCUUAAUAUUUAGAGCAGCAGAUAAUAGGUUGAUGUGAAACCUCCACUUGCACAUUUUCGAGAAAAAAUUAUGAUUAUUUGUAAGUAUCUUUAAAUUGUUCAAAUUUUUUCAAAUGCAGACAAACAUUUUUGACUUUGAUAUUUCAAAUUUCCGUUCUUAGCACAUUUUUUUUUUUUUUUUGUCAACUCUAUCCAACCAAGUAUUCAGUCGCAUAUGCUUAUUGGUCUCUAGGUACGUCUACGUAUCUUCUGCAAUCCAUGACUAUCUUUAAAAAUUCCGUGGAAAGUCGAAACUGCUCCUACGUUGUUAUUGAAAUAAAUCAAAAAAUUAUGGUAAGUACCUACCACUGCUCUACAUUUUUGAAUCUAAACUACUUCAGUACACUUUCUUCUUCAUAAUACCUUUUACCAUAAACUUCGUCUUAAUGAUUUAAACUAAUGACAAUUUCUUCUUCGAAGCAUAAACUCGAUAAUUACUCAAAAAUCCUUGACCAAUUCCCAAAAUUACGAAAAUUCUUGUAUAUAUACUUUCGUUUCAUGGCUUCAAAAAUAUCACAAUUUGUUCGACUUUCAACUCAAACAGUUCGUCAAGUGAAAAAAAAAAUCCUUUUCGAAAAUUCAACUCUUUCUGUGCGUUUACCGAGUUUCGUCGCUAUGAAUUUUUACAAAGUCUUUUUAUUCGUUUUUGCCGCCAUCGUGGCUUUGAUGCCGUCGAUGGCAUCUGCUGAAUGUCUUGCAGCAGGAGCCACCUGCAAGGCGGAUGCUUCGAUGGGAAACUGCUGUUCCGGAAUGUGCCUUCAAGAUAUAAAGGAGACAACUGGAAAAUGCAAAUAAAACGUGCAAAUUCAAUUUUGAAGCGAUACAAAAACAUAAGAUUCGUAUGGACCGACUGGUAAAUUCGCGCAGUUUCAAAUUUUACGCAUACAAAAAGUACAUAGGUACCUACUUAUCAUUAUGUACAAUGUUUGUAUCAAGCACAUUUUUUACUUCUCCAUAAUAUCAAACAAUGAUUGCACUUAUAAUUUUUAUUCUGAAUACAGAACAAUUACAUAAUUUUGCUUUCUA
This is a long non-coding RNA of Planococcus citri (citrus mealybug), 7661 nucleotides long. RefSeq lists it as uncharacterized. The transcript has 3 exons. The record is from RefSeq and is a predicted model, not a curated record. Lineage: Eukaryota; Metazoa; Arthropoda; Insecta; Hemiptera; Pseudococcidae.